CGGGCCUCUUGCCAUCAGAUGUGCCCAGAUGGGAUUAGCUAGUUGGUGAGGUAACGGCUCACCAAGGCGACGAUCCCUAGCUGGUCUGAGAGGAUGACCAGCCACACUGGAACUGAGACACGGUCCAGACUCCUACGGGAGGCAGCAGUGGGGAAUAUUGCACAAUGGGCGCAAGCCUGAUGCAGCCAUGCCGCGUGUAUGAAGAAGGCCUUCGGGUUGUAAAGUACUUUCAGCGGGGAGGAAGGUGUUGUGGUUAAUAACCGCAGCAAUUGACGUUACCCGCAGAAGAAGCACCGGCUAACUCCGUGCCAGCAGCCGCGGUAAUACGGAGGGUGCAAGCGUUAAUCGGAAUUACUGGGCGUAAAGCGCACGCAGGCGGUCUGUCAAGUCGGAUGUGAAAUCCCCGGGCUCAACCUGGGAACUGCAUUCGAAACUGGCAGGCUUGAGUCUUGUAGAGGGGGGUAGAAUUCCAGGUGUAGCGGUGAAAUGCGUAGAGAUCUGGAGGAAUACCGGUGGCGAAGGCGGCCCCCUGGACAAAGACUGACGCUCAGGUGCGAAAGCGUGGGGAGCAAACAGGAUUAGAUACCCUGGUAGUCCACGCCGUAAACGAUGUCUACUUGGAGGUUGUGCCCUUGAGGCGUGGCUUCCGGAGCUAACGCGUUAAGUAGACCGCCUGGGGAGUACGGCCGCAAGGUUAAAACUCAAAUGAAUUGACGGGGGCCCGCACAAGCGGUGGAGCAUGUGGUUUAAUUCGAUGCAACGCGAAGAACCUUACCUGGUCUUGACAUCCACAGAACUUUCCAGAGAUGGAUUGGUGCCUUCGGGAACUGUGAGACAGGUGCUGCAUGGCUGUCGUCAGCUCGUGUUGUGAAAUGUUGGGUUAAGUCCCGCAACGAGCGCAACCCUUAUCCUUUGUUGCCAGCGGUCCGGCCGGGAACUCAAAGGAGACUGCCAGUGAUAAACUGGAGGAAGGUGGGGAUGACGUCAAGUCAUCAUGGCCCUUACGACCAGGGCUACACACGUGCUACAAUGGCGCAUACAAAGAGAAGCGACCUCGCGAGAGCAAGCGGACCUCAUAAAGUGCGUCGUAGUCCGGAUUGGAGUCUGCAACUCGACUCCAUGAAGUCGGAAUCGCUAGUAAUCGUGGAUCAGAAUGCCACGGUGAAUACGUUCCCGGGCCUUGUACACACCGCCCGUCACACCAUGGGAGUGGGUUGCAAAAGAAGUAGGUAGCUUAACCUUCGGGAGGGCGCUUACCACUUUGUGAUUCAUGACUGGGGUGAAGUCGUAACAAGGUAACCGUAGGGGAACCUGCGGUUGGAUCACCUCCUUACCUUAAAGAA
This 1343-nucleotide ribosomal RNA is filed under the name Salmonella enterica subsp. enterica serovar Muenchen. Its description in RNAcentral is "bacterial SSU rRNA". It matches the Rfam family "Bacterial small subunit ribosomal RNA", at positions 207 to 1533 of the family's 1533-position model. Lineage: Bacteria; Pseudomonadati; Pseudomonadota; Gammaproteobacteria; Enterobacterales; Enterobacteriaceae. The record is from RNAcentral.